AUCACCUGGGGAUCUUGUUAAAACAUGGAUUCUGAUUCGGUAGGUUUGGAGUAGAAUCUGAGAUUUUGCAUUUCUAACAAGAUCCCCAGUGAUGCCUA
Molecule: microRNA precursor, 98 nt
Filed under: Canis lupus familiaris (dog)
Lineage: Eukaryota; Metazoa; Chordata; Mammalia; Carnivora; Canidae
Also listed under: 1 other name
Description: mir-544 microRNA precursor family
Rfam family: mir-544 microRNA precursor family
Source: Rfam by way of RNAcentral